UUUCCAAAGGCUGUAAGUUGGAUGAUCGUAAGGUGUGCAAGGACAUGUGCUAGGAACGGAAUGGGGCCAGGCUGGCGAGGCGAGUGCAGCAGGAGAAUGAAUUGUGAGGCUUGCAUACGAGGCUUACAUGGCGAUUGGCGCACGGCAAACUGCAAGUACAUUGCAAGAUGUCGUUGCGGGCGCAAGUUUGCUAGAAGCACAGGAACCACAACCAGAAGAAGAAGAACAGCAGCACAGCAACAGCGCGCGCACAGGACACGUCGCGUCGUGUCUGUGCAAUGAAGGAGGAACAAAGGAGUAGUCCUAGAGUGGCGAUCCUUGUUGCGCGCGGAUGUCCAUGCCACGACAGGCAACAUGAUGGGUGCUUUGCACGCUGCCAAUUUGCUUCCGAGCACUCCAAGAGCGGACAUACAAAGCAGCGCAACGGGCCCCCCCGCUAUCCCUCAAACCUCACGCAAUAGUCCAUACCAAGCGCUGCCGUCCGUAAGGGCAGCAGCUGCCGUUCACACACGGGUUAAGGUCGGACAUGUAUGCACCGUGAACGAAGGCCUAAGGGCGAUCGUGCCCAAAUGAAACAGCACUGGCGCGAGUUUGCUAGAAGCACAGGAACCACAACCAGAAGACCAAGAACAGCAGCACAGCAACAGCGCGCGCACAGGACACGUGACGUGGUUUCCGUGCUAAGAAGGAGGAAUAAAGGAGAAGUGUUAGAGUGAAGAUCGAUGUGGCCCGUGGAUGGCCACGCCAGAACAGUGAACAUGAUGGGUGUUUUACACCCUUCCAAGUUCCCCCCGAGCACUCGAAGAGCGGACAUGCGAUGGAGCGCAAGGAGCCCCCCCCUAUCCUCAAACCUCACGCAAUAGACCAUCCCACGCUCUGCCGUCNNNNNNNNNNNNNNNNNNNNNNNNNNNNNNNNNNNNNNNNNNNNNNNNNNUUAAUUUUGUGUAUGCUAUCUUUAAUUUGCGACAGUUUGUAUUUUGACUUCAGACGAAAAAAGAUGCUGUUUGCGUAUGUAAGCAGGCGCCACGUCUUUUCGAAAAGUGCCGCUUCGCCAGGCGCUUCAUCUUCCGCGGCCAUUCCAUGAGCGCGUGUUGAUACCAAGUUAUAUGCUUUCAGUUACGUCAAGACAGCCAUACAUUCCUACGGUCCUGCUUGCCGCGUGCAACUGUGGCCAACAUGCUGCCGCACAAGCGCGCUGACACACCACGACUUUUCGCCAAGAAAAUUUACAUACACUUGUACAGGCGCAUUUUUCGAAACGCACGUGCGCAUCCGCGAGGCAAAAUUCGCUCCUGGCUUUGGGGACGAUGUACGGAGGGUCUAUUCGGCAGAGUACGACCGGACACAUUUGUGCGAGGGGCUGCUUAAACGAGGGGGGUCCUUGUGAAGCAGCUGCCCGCGUUUCCAAAGGCUGUAAGUUGGAUGAUCGUAAGGUGUGCAAGGACAUGUGCUAGGAACGGAAUGGGGCCAGGCUGGCGAGGCGAGUGCAGCAGGAGAAUGAAUUGUGAGGCUUGCAUACGAGGCUUACAUGGCGAUUGGCGCACGGCAAACUGCAAGUACAUUGCAAGAUGUCGUUGCGGGCGCAAGUUUGCUAGAAGCACAGGAACCACAACCAGAAGAAGAAGAACAGCAGCACAGCAACAGCGCGCGCACAGGACACGUCGCGUCGUGUCUGUGCAAUGAAGGAGGAACAAAGGAGUAGUCCUAGAGUGGCGAUCCUUGUUGCGCGCGGAUGUCCAUGCCACGACAGGCAACAUGAUGGGUGCUUUGCACGCUGCCAAUUUGCUUCCGAGCACUCCAAGAGCGGACAUACAAAGCAGCGCAACGGGCCCCCCCGCUAUCCCUCAAACCUCACGCAAUAGUCCAUACCAAGCGCUGCCGUCCGUAAGGGCAGCAGCUGCCGUUCACACACGGGUUAAGGUCGGACAUGUAUGCACCGUGAACGAAGGCCUAAGGGCGAUCGUGCCCAAAUGAAACAGCACUGGCGCGAGUUUGCUAGAAGCACAGGAACCACAACCAGAAGACCAAGAACAGCAGCACAGCAACAGCGCGCGCACAGGACACGUGACGUGGUUUCCGUGCUAAGAAGGAGGAAUAAAGGAGAAGUGUUAGAGUGAAGAUCGAUGUGGCCCGUGGAUGGCCAC
Molecule: long non-coding RNA, 2144 nt
Filed under: Volvox carteri
Lineage: Eukaryota; Viridiplantae; Chlorophyta; Chlorophyceae; Chlamydomonadales; Volvocaceae
Description: long non-coding RNA (VCAR_LNC002305)
Source: RNAcentral